CCUACGGGAGGCUGCAGUGGGGAAUAUUGGGCAAUGGGCGCAAGCCUGACCCAGCAACGCCGCGUGAAGGAAGAAGGCUUUCGGGUUGUAAACUUCUUUUCUCAGGGACGAAGAAAGUGACGGUACCUGAGGAAUAAGCCACGGCUAACUACGUGCCAGCAGCCGCGGUAAUACGUAGGUGGCAAGCGUUAUCCGGAUUUAUUGGGUGUAAAGGGCGUGUAGGCGGGAGCGCAAGUCAGAUGUGAAACCUCAGGGCUCAACCCUGAGCCUGCAUUUGAAACUGUGUUUCUUGAGUGCUGGAGAGGCAAUCGGAAUUCCGUGUGUAGCGGUGAAAUGCGUAGAUAUCGCGCAGAACUCCGAUUGCGAAGGCAGCAUGCCGGCUCCACACUGACGCUGAGGCACGAAAGCGUGGGUAUCGAACAGGAUUAGAUACCCGUGUAGUC
RNAcentral lists this ribosomal RNA (443 nucleotides) under uncultured bacterium. RNAcentral's name for it is "partial 16S ribosomal RNA". It matches the Rfam family "Bacterial small subunit ribosomal RNA", at positions 338 to 795 of the family's 1533-position model. The record is from RNAcentral.